GCUGUAGCUCAAUGGUAGAGCCCAUGCUUUGCAUGCAGAAUGUCCCAGGUUCGAUCCCCAGUGUCUCCA
Molecule: non-coding RNA, 69 nt
Organism: Podarcis lilfordi (Lilford's wall lizard)
Lineage: Eukaryota; Metazoa; Chordata; Lepidosauria; Squamata; Lacertidae
Source: the annotation of a GenBank genome assembly